UGGAAGAAAUUCAGGGACCUGACAACGAGCAACAUAACGGUCUACAGUCUCAGAUUAAAUUUAGGAGCUGUUCAAACUAUUAUAAUCCUUAAAUGCUUUCUCCCACACUGGAAUUCCUCUGCAUAUCAUAUACUGGUUUUGGGAGAUUCCAUGGCAUAUAAUGGAUGAAUUAUUUUUCUUUGCAAGAGAAGGUAACCCCAAACUAAGAGCGAGAUGUUGUCUACUGGAGGAGAAUUGCAAGAAAAGAGCUAAAAACAUUAUCCAUUUAGGUCUGAGGACAUAGAGAAAGGUUUGGAACAUUGAGGUUGGAUACCAGGAGCUUUGAGACUGCGGCAGUCAAUGAGGAGAAUGAAGGGAGUGCCUCUCAUGGAGCAACUGCAAGCUGUUACAUUUGAGCCGGCUACCUUCACAUCAUCUGAGGCCAUGUACGGAGCAUUGCAUUGAAGUGGCUGAGAAAAGGAGUCACCACAUUAUGUACCAUCGGGGCUCGUCUCAUAUCUCUUUUUCAAUAAAAGUAAA
Stegostoma tigrinum is the source of this 519-nucleotide long non-coding RNA. RefSeq lists it as uncharacterized. The record is from RefSeq and is a predicted model, not a curated record. NCBI's taxonomy places the organism in Eukaryota, Metazoa, Chordata, Chondrichthyes, Orectolobiformes, Stegostomatidae. The transcript is spliced from 3 exons.